GUGAGGAAUCUUCCACAAUGGGCGAAAGCCUGAUGGAGCAACGCCGCGUGAAGGAUGAAGGUCUUCGGAUUGUAAACUUCUUUUAUGAGUGAAGAAUAUGACGGUAACUCAUGAAUAAGCACCGGCUAACUACGUGCCAGCAGCCGCGGUCAUACGUAGGGUGCAAGCAUUAUCCGGAGUGACUGGGCGUAAAGAGUUGCGUAGGCGGUUAUGUAAGCGAAUAGUGAAACCUGGUGGCUCAACCACACAGACUAUUAUUCGAACUGCAUAACUCGAGAAUGGUAGAGGUAACUGGAAUUGCUUGUGUAGGAGUGAAAUCCGUAGAUAUAAGAAGGAACACCAAUGGCGUAGGCAGGUUACUGGGCCAUUUCUGACGCUAAGGCACGAAAGCGUGGGGAGCGAACCGGAUUAGAUACCCGUGUAGUCC
This 427-nucleotide ribosomal RNA is filed under the name uncultured bacterium. Its description in RNAcentral is "partial 16S ribosomal RNA". It matches the Rfam family "Bacterial small subunit ribosomal RNA", at positions 354 to 796 of the family's 1533-position model. The record is from RNAcentral.